This 268-nucleotide ribosomal RNA is filed under the name uncultured bacterium. Its description in RNAcentral is "partial small subunit ribosomal RNA". It matches the Rfam family "Bacterial small subunit ribosomal RNA", at positions 26 to 281 of the family's 1533-position model. The record is from RNAcentral.
AGAAUCAACGCUGGCGGCGUGCCUAACACAUGCAAGUCGAACGCGAAAGGGACUUCGGUCCUGAGUAGAGUGGCGAACGGGUGAGUAACACGUGGGUGACCUACCUUCGAAUGGGGGAUAACGUCCCGAAAGGGACGCUAAUACCGCAUAACAUCCUGUCCUUGAACGGAUGGUGAUCAAAGCCGGGGAUCGCAAGACCUGGCGUUUGAAGAGGGGCCCGCGUCCGAUUAGCUAGUUGGUGAGGUAACGGCUCACCAAGGCGACGAUC